UGGGGAAUAUCGCACAAUGGGCGCAAGCCUGAUGCAGCCAUGCCGCGUGUGUGAAGAAGGCCUUCGGGUUGUAAAGCACUUUCAGCGAGGAGGAAGGUGGUGAGCUUAAUACGCUCAUCAAUUGACGUUACUCGCAGAAGAAGCACCGGCUAACUCCGUGCCAGCAGCCGCGGUAAUACGGAGGGUGCAAGCGUUAAUCGGAAUUACUGGGCGUAAAGCGCACGCAGGCGGUUUGUUAAGUCAGAUGUGAAAUCCCCGGGGCUCAACCUGGGAACUGCAUUUGAAACUGGCAAGCUAGAGUCUCGUAGAGGGGGGUAGAAUUCCAGGUGUAGCGGUGAAAUGCGUAGAGAUCUGGAGGAAUACCGGUGGCGAAGGCGGCCCCCCUGGACGAAGACUGACGCUCAGGUGCGAAAGCGUGGGGCAGCAAACAGGAUUAGAUACCCUGGUAGUCCAGCGCUGUAAACGAUGUCGAUUUGGAGGUUGUGCCCUUGAGGCGUGGCUUCCGGAGCUAACGCGUUAAAGUCGA
Molecule: ribosomal RNA, 526 nt
Filed under: uncultured bacterium
Lineage: Bacteria
Description: partial 16S ribosomal RNA
Rfam family: Bacterial small subunit ribosomal RNA
Source: RNAcentral